Molecule: long non-coding RNA, 151 nt
Organism: Bufo bufo (common toad)
Lineage: Eukaryota; Metazoa; Chordata; Amphibia; Anura; Bufonidae
Exons: 3
Source: RefSeq, a predicted model, not a curated record
CCAGAAGGGCAAUGUUGGAAUUGGUUUUCCUAUAUACAGUAGUAUCCAGUUCACCCAUCUCAUUUUUAGUGAUAGAGACGUCCAGAAAGGGUAGAGAUAUGGAGUCAGACUCACAAGUGAAACGUAGACCAAUCUGAUUGUGAUUGAGCCC